This 70-nucleotide transfer RNA is filed under the name Dipodomys ordii (Ord's kangaroo rat). It matches the Rfam family "tRNA". Rfam says of the family: Transfer RNA (tRNA) molecules are approximately 80 nucleotides in length. Their secondary structure includes four short double-helical elements and three loops (D, anti-codon, and T loops). The record is from Rfam by way of RNAcentral. Lineage: Eukaryota; Metazoa; Chordata; Mammalia; Rodentia; Heteromyidae.
GGGACUGUGGCUUAGUGGUAGAGUGCUUGCCUAGCAUGCAUGAAGUCCUGGGUUCAAUUCCUCAGUACCA